This 253-nucleotide ribosomal RNA is filed under the name uncultured bacterium. RNAcentral describes it as "partial 16S ribosomal RNA". It matches the Rfam family "Bacterial small subunit ribosomal RNA", at positions 524 to 776 of the family's 1533-position model. The record is from RNAcentral.
GACGGAGGAUGCAAGCGUUAUCCGGAAUGAUUGGGCGUAAAGCGUCCGCAGGUGGCUGUUCAAGUCUGCUGUCAAAGACCGGGGCUUAACUUCGGAAAGGCAGUGGAAACUGAACAGCUAGAGUAUGGUAGGGGCAGAGGGAAUUCCUGGUGUAGCGGUGAAAUGCGUAGAGAUCAGGAAGAACAUCGGUGGCGAAGGCGCUCUGCUGGACCAUAACUGACACUCAGGGACGAAAGCGAGGGGAGCGAAUGGG